This 253-nucleotide ribosomal RNA is filed under the name uncultured bacterium. RNAcentral describes it as "partial 16S ribosomal RNA". It matches the Rfam family "Bacterial small subunit ribosomal RNA", at positions 524 to 776 of the family's 1533-position model. The record is from RNAcentral.
UACAGAGGGUGCAAGCGUUGUUCGGAUUCACUGGGCGUAAAGGGUGCGUAGGUGGUGAGGUAAGUCGGAUGUGAAAUCUCCGGGCUCAACCCGGAAACUGCAUUGGAAACUACCUUGCUUGAGGAUUUGAGGGGGGAUUGGAAUACUUGGUGUAGCAGUGAAAUGCGUAGAUAUCAAGUGGAACACCAGUGGCGAAGGCGAAUCCCUGGAAAAUACCUGACACUGAGGCACGAAAGCUAGGGGAGCAAACAGG